This 474-nucleotide long non-coding RNA is filed under the name Vitis vinifera (wine grape). RNAcentral's name for it is "long non-coding RNA (VVIN_LNC007720)". The record is from RNAcentral. Lineage: Eukaryota; Viridiplantae; Streptophyta; Magnoliopsida; Vitales; Vitaceae.
ACGAUGGCGGAAACUGGGUCUCCCAUUCAUAGUCCCAUGGAUUCCGAUCCUCCUCUUUCUAAAGCCGAGAAUCGCAUAUUGGUUGUUGUCGCAAAUGCGCUGGCCCAUAAUAUAAUAAGGAAGAAGAAAUUUGAAGGUUUUUUGAAAGGGUUGAAAUUCAAUUUGUUCUUUUUGUUCCAAUCGAGUAACACUGUUUUUCUGUCACUUUGACCGAUGCUUUAUAUGAAGUUCCCACCUACGGCUACAUGCCUAUUAAGAGCUAGUCGAGCUAACCCCUGCUAGUGAAUCUGCUCGACUCGUGGUAUAGCUCGUCGGUCGAUCGAUCAAAGUAUAGCGUAUUAGCAAGCGUGACGUGCCGGACUGACCCAACACGUCUUUCUUUACCGGCAUGCACAAAGUGCUUUCAGUAGCACUCGCAUCUUAUCACCAAUGGGUUUGGUCUUGGAAUUCAUCUACUGGCAUCGGAGAGAGAAG